RNAcentral lists this long non-coding RNA (1289 nucleotides) under Nicotiana benthamiana. Its description in RNAcentral is "long non-coding RNA (NBEN_LNC011688)". The record is from RNAcentral. Lineage: Eukaryota; Viridiplantae; Streptophyta; Magnoliopsida; Solanales; Solanaceae.
AUCCUGUCAACCCUGUUUUUCCUAUUGAAGAAACCCCAAACCCAAAUUUCCUGGAUGUACCCAUUUCCUGGCCUGUUUUGCUUUUAUUGUUAUUUAGAGCUUGUUGCACAAAUUGCAUACAUGGAUAAGAGACACAUUUUAUGUUAGUUUAUUCCAGGAUUAGGAUGUGAUUGAGCACGAGGCAUCUUACGUGAUAGAAUUUGAAUAAUUAUGUUUAAGAUUGUAACCAGUAUGGUACGCUAUUUAACAAAAGAAGAUUGUUAACUAUUGUGAUUUUAAGCAUCACGACUUAGUGAGCUAAAUUAUUACGAGUGUCCAAGGAUUUUCCCUGUUUACGAAGUGCACCUAGUUAGUUUGGGCCUUCGGGUAGGGAAGAGUAGACGUAUGCCAAAUGCAGUCUUCCUUUUGCAUUUAUGCGAAGGAACCUGAGACUCCAGGUGCCCAAAGUUGAAAAAACCCCAAACCCAAAAUUCCUGGAUGUACCCAUUUCCUGGCCUGUUUUGCUUUUAUUGUUAUUGAGAGCUUGUUGCAGAAAUUGCAUCACAUGGAUAAGAGACACAUUUUUUGUUAUCCAGGAUUAGGAUGUGAUUGAGCGUGAGGCCUCUUACGUGAUACUGUGGUAGAAUUUGAAUAAUUAUGUUUAAGAUUGUAAACUGUAUGGUAGGCUAUCUAACGAAACAAGAUAAUUAACUAUUGCGAUUUUAAACAUCACGAUUUAGUGAGCUAAAUUAUUACAAGUGUGCAAGGAUUUUCCCCGUUUACAAAGUGCACCUAGUUACUUUGGGUCGUCGGAGUAGGGGAGAGCCAAAUGCAGUCUUCCUUUUGCAUUUCUGUAAAGGAACCUGAGACUCCAGGUGCCUAAAGGAGAAACUUACAUUCUUGCUGUGUCAUUUGAUGGCAUUAGAAGAAAAAGAAUCAAGUUAUACUUAGUACCUGGCCACUGUGGACUGUAAAGAGGUGGUGGAUAGAUUUUUGACAAUAUUAUAUUUUACUGAAUUCUGGAGGCAGUUAAUUUCAUCAAGCAUACAGAAGAGCUGACAAUGUCAUUCACUCUGCAUUAAACAGGUGAACCAUUCAAUGGGUUCUGGAAAAAAUCUUUUAUACUUCAAACCGUUAGCAUGUCUUUGAUGUGAUUGUAGGUGUCCCGUGGAAAGAGAAGCGUAUGCUUACUGCAGAUGCCAAGCCUGUAAAUAAUAAAUUGUGGGGCUUGUUUAAAAGUUUCAAUGUUUUUUCCCACUCUCGGAAAUGAUGGAUAAAGACGUUAGAAUGUUACUCAUAGGAUUUAAACC